Molecule: ribosomal RNA, 563 nt
Filed under: uncultured Sebacinales
Lineage: Eukaryota; Fungi; Basidiomycota; Agaricomycetes; Sebacinales
Description: eukaryotic LSU rRNA
Rfam family: Eukaryotic large subunit ribosomal RNA
Source: RNAcentral
UAGUAACGGCGAGUGAAGAGGGAAAAGCUCAAAUUUUGAAUCUGGUGUCUUUGACUCCCGAGUUGUAAUCUAGAGAAGUGUUUUCCGCGUUGGACCGUGUACAAGUUCCCUGGAACGGGGCGUCAUAGAGGGUGAGAAUCCCGUAUAUGCCACGGACUACCAAUGCUCUGUGAUACACUCUCAACGAGUCGAGUUGUUUGGGAAUGCAGCUCAAAAUGGGUGGUAAAUUCCAUCUAAAGCUAAAUAUUGGCGAGAGACCGAUAGCGAACAAGUACCGUGAGGGAAAGAUGAAAAGCACUUUGGAAAGAGAGUGAAACAGUACGUGAAAUUGUUGAAAGGGAAGCGUUUGAAGUCAGUCACGUCUGUCGGAAUUCAGCCUGGCUUCUGCCUGGUGUACUUUCCGUCCGACGGGUCAGCAUCAAUUUCGAUCGAGGGAAAAAGACAUGAGGAAUGUGGCUGUCUUCGGGCAGUGUUAUAGACUCGUGUUGUAUGUCUCGGUUGGGAUUGAGGAACGCAGCGCGCCUAUUGGCCGGGGGUUCGCGCCCCUCGGUACGCGCUUAGGA